UUAUCAAAAACAUGUCUUUUUGAAUUAAAUAUAAAGUCUAACCUGCCCAUUGAUAAAAUUAAAAGGCUGCAGUAUUUUGACUGUACAAAGGUAGCAUAAUCAUUAGUUUUUUAAUUGAAAACUUGUAUGAAGGGUUGAACAAAAUAUUAACUGUAUCAUAAAAAUAAUUAGAAAUUAAUUUUUUAGUAAAAAAGCUAAAAUUAAUUUAAAAGACGAGAAGACCCUAUAGAUUUUUAUAUUUGUUUUAUUAUAAUUUAUUUAUUUUUAUUAAAAUUUUAUUUAAAUAAAUAUUUUGUUGGGGUGAUAUUAAAAUUUAAAAAACUUUUAUUUUUUUUUACAUAAAUUUAUGAAUAAUUGAUCCAAUUUUAUUGAUUAAAAGAUUAAAUUACCUUAGGGAUAACAGCGUAAUAUUUUUAUAGAGUUCUUAUCGAAAAAAAAAAUUGCGACCUCGAUGUUGGAUUAAGAUAAAUUUAAGGUGUAGAAGCUUUAUAAUUAGGUCUGUUCGACCUUUAAAUUCUUACGUGAUCUGAGUU
Molecule: ribosomal RNA, 533 nt
Filed under: Allocotocera pulchella
Lineage: Eukaryota; Metazoa; Arthropoda; Insecta; Diptera; Mycetophilidae
Description: partial 16S ribosomal RNA
Rfam family: Bacterial large subunit ribosomal RNA (bases 396-533)
Source: RNAcentral